RNAcentral lists this ribosomal RNA (479 nucleotides) under uncultured bacterium. Its description in RNAcentral is "bacterial SSU rRNA". It matches the Rfam family "Bacterial small subunit ribosomal RNA", at positions 56 to 518 of the family's 1533-position model. The record is from RNAcentral.
UGCAAGUCGAACGCGAAAGGGACUCGGUCCUGAGUAAAGUGGCGCACGGGUGAGUAACGCGUGGAUAAUCUGCCCUUAUGAUCGGGAUAACAGUUGGAAACGGCUGCUAAUACCGGAUACGCUCAAAAUGAACUUUUUGAGGAAAGAUGGCCUCUGCUUGCAUGCUAUCACGUAAGGAUGAGUCCGCGUCCCAUUAGCUUGUUGGCGGGGUAACGGCCCACCAAGGCAACGAUGGGUAGCCGAUUUGAGAGGAUGAUCGGCCACACUGGAACUGAAACACGGUCCAGACUCCUACGGGAGGCAGCAGUGGGGAAUAUUGCGCAAUGGGCGAAAGCCUGACGCAGCGACGCCGCGUGAGGGAUGAAAGGUUUUCGGAUCGUAAACCUCUGUCAGAAGGGAAGAAACUACGUUGUGCUAAUCAGCAGCGUACUGACGGUACCUUCAAAGGAAGCACCGGCUAACUCCGUGCCAGCAGCAGC